UCCUUCCUUCCUUCCUUCCUUCCUUCCUUCCUUUCCGCCCCUUUCUCUCUUUUUCUUGCUUUUUAUGUGGCCUAAAGUUUCAUUGCUUGUCUUCAGUGGCUAUAGCUGGAGAGGGGAGGGCAAAGAAUUUCCUGGGCUAAAUCUACAGUUACCUAUGAAUAAAAGUCAUGUUAUUUUGCUUGGCGCUCUCUUUCGAGGAAGUGGAACUGAAUGGUGGCGACACAUUACGUUUUAAGGUCCUUAGGAACCAGGGUUUGUAGGAGUUUAUAGAGCUAGCGUUGUUCGACGUGUGAAAACACAGUGGGGCAGGUACCUGUGGCAUGAUUAGAUUUUGCUUCUAGCAAUGUUGGUUGACGAGGAAGAGCGUGUAACGUAGGUCUUCAUAUUCACAGCGUUUUCUUUUCGCCUGUUUGUUGCACCUGCUGUGCCAAAUUUACUCUUUGACAUCUUGACUAAAUCUAUUCUCUACAAAUUUCCCUUGAGGAGUAGGAGCAGUGUUAUUGCUUUGUAGUACACAUUUCAGUUUGCUGAUAAACGGGGAAGGUUCAGUGCUCUGGGUAAGUACAGCUGAGGUUAAUGUUGAAACAGUUUUGUCUUCUGUCUCUUUAAAAAAAAAAAAACACCACCCAAUCCUAUCCCAUCCUUAAACUCUGAAAAGUUUUGCUUGCAUUUCUUAUUAAGAAGGAAGUAAAUUGUGUUUCUCAGUCUCUGUUACUGUUGUUGUAAUGGGAAUGAAAGCUCUCACGAGCCGUUUCACUGGAUAUGCUAUUUUAAUAAGAAUGAGGUUUUAACAGAACCGGUUCCUCCAAGAAGAGCUUCUGUCAUUGUUUCACUACAGAGCCCAGUGGAGGCUCUUAAGGCCUAAGAGAGAGAGCAGGCAACUGAAUUGUCAUCUUUGUUUUGCACAGUUUCAGCCCAUCUGAAAUGCAGGACAAGAAGGAAGAAGUAGCAGGCAGCCUGCCCCCCUGAAUUAGGAUAUGUGCAAUUAUUUGUAUGCAUUCCUCCAUUGUCCAGAAAUUUAUAUAACUUGAAUGAACCCCCCCCCCCCUCAAAUUAACUCCCUUAUUCGGAGUAUAAAGGGAAUUGUUAUCCUUACCCUUUGGCAACUUGAUUGCUGUCUCUGCAGGAAUUUCCAUGGGUUGGUUUGCUUUGCUUUUAAUCCAUGUGGAAUGGAUCAAAGAAGAAAUUUGAAAUCUUUGCAUUCAUAAAUAAAAAUGCAUUUUUCAGGAUUUUUCUUUUGUUUUUUGCAAACUACCAUUCACAUCUGGAGGUGCAAAAACCUGGAGUUCUAGUGAGGUUAUUGAAAUUCUUGGUGUUAAUAAUGCCUAAAACCCAAAGUCCUCCUUGUUCAUAAGCUCCUUGUGUAUCCAGACUCACAAAACAAUCUGUUCCCCCCCCCCUUUUUUUUAAAAUUAAAGUAGCUUCAGGAAUUUCUUGUCUGCUAUCUGGUUUGCCCCACAACCUACCAAGACAGCUUAGUUUUGUUUUUUUAGCAGCCCUCAGAAUCGGCAUGAAAUUUUUUUUUUUUUUUUUUUAAAAUAUAAAAUGGAGAGACACCCCCGUACAUUUGCUGAACAGGUCAAUCAGGACAACCUUUUUCAAAUCUUGCCUUGGCUUCCAUGGGACAUUGAAUUUAUCGUUGAAAAGCAUUGAGUGAAGGAUGAUCCAAGGUCGAUUUUGCAGAGGGCAUUGUGGAAGUGGGGGGGAGGGAGGGGGCGGACUGGUGGGGAGAGCCACUUAAGGUAAGCCUCCCACUCUUCCAAGUUCAUUCCAGCCGCAGCUCGCUUUCGGCUCUAAAAGGCUGGAUGUGAAUCGGGGAGAGUUUUUCCUCUCUGUAGUGGAGCCAAUGACAGAAGCUCUUCUUUAGAAUUUCCAGGAUGGCUGUAUUCUGCGAUCAGAAUGAGACAGUCAAGCUGGGCAGAAUCCCAAACGCCAAGAUGGAAGUUGAUGGAUUGGAUCCUGGAUCAGAAGCCGACAAAUCUUGUUGCUAAAUAGCAUCAACCAUACAAAAAUAGCCAGUUGUGUCUCGGAUGGAGAGAAAGUAAAGUCAAGCAAUGGAGGAACAAGCUGGCAUGGUGUGACCUUGGAAUCUGCGCUCCUGUACUGUGAUCAGAGAUUUGCUUGAGGUCCUUUUUAUUUUAUUUUAUUUUGGCUUGCUUUUUUGGACCUCUUUGGGCCCGUGACGGAUGUCCAGCUGUUGACAUGUGCAUGUAAAAACUUGGGGGAGGAAUCCUACCGAAUAAGUUCUCAGUUGGAAAUUCAGAAUCAGCCACCUUGGGACUUAUUUGUGUCCUUGCCUUCACUUUUUAACUUGAUCCUGAGCCUCUGCUCCUUGUUUAAGAAGCGUUGACAACCCGUUGUUGUCCAGAACAUUGAUUUGCAAAGCCAGUUGUAGCCGUGGGGACUUCCUACAGACUCCGGAAAUCCACCCCAAGCGCCUCCAUCCUUUCGCAUUUUUGUGGUGGGCAACGGUACCUCUUGCCUUUGAUUAAAGAACCUUGAAGCCUCCAGAAUGUGUAGAUGUCUUUAUUGUUGGAAAUGCCCAGCUGGAAAAAAGUCUUCCAUCUAGCAAAGCCGUGUUAAACCAAAAAAGGAGGAAACACAACCUGGCCAUGAUGGGAGAUCAAUAUCCACCAAUGUUUCCCUCCUCCCUGGACUUUGUGAACAAACACUGGUCCUGCUUUUUCUUGUAAUAUUUGAUUUUUUUGUGUGUGUUCCUUUGCAAAAUGUGAGCUCGAUUUUGUGUUGGAAGCUCGAGUUUGGAUUCAGGCCUUGUGUAAUUCUUUUGUUGUGCAUGCCGAUUGUACGUUCUUCCACCGUUAUCUUUCUUUUCUUUUGUACAGUGUUUGUGACAUGCUACUUACUCACUUUUCAUAAGAUGCUACUGGUUUCUUUUUUUUUCCAAAUAAAAAGUUUCCUGCUUCCCAUUUA
Non-coding RNA from Thamnophis sirtalis, 2931 nucleotides. Lineage: Eukaryota; Metazoa; Chordata; Lepidosauria; Squamata; Natricidae. The record is from RefSeq and is a predicted model, not a curated record.